AAUUUCAUUGCCUCGCUCCUAUAAAUUCAAAUCCUUUUCCCCAAACUCUCGUAGUUCUGUCACCACAACUUGUUCAUUACGUUCAUAGCUGCUCCGAAUUACGGUUCCCCUGCAUCAUACAUUUCUGCUCUGAAAUUUGUGGUAUCCCCUUACGUGUCUGCAAGUAUUUUUAGUAGUAUUUAACUAGUGAGGUUAUGCCAUCUAUCACAUUGGUCAUAAAUUCUGACCGUGCACAACACAACUACAUAGAAGGCGUGAAUAGUUGUAGUUCUAAAUCAUCAAAUCCUGAAAAAAUAAAAUAUUUUAACAAUAAUUCUAAAUUCAAAGAUCAUUAAAAACAUUCGUUUAUAGAAAAUCAGUCAUAAUAUUUGAAUAUAAUAUUUUUGCAUUUUAAAUCGUAACUUAAAAGUUUUAAAUCAAACUUAGAACAAAAGUGGUUCUUUAUCCUGAAAAUGCAUAGAUGUUGUUGAGUAUGACUUUUGAGCUUAUUAGAGACAAACCAAAAGCAAACAAAGUUAAAAUCAUAAAGAAAGAAUGGAGACCUACAAAUUCUAUCUCAGUAUAACUCUCGAAAGGAUGUGAAAGUUAAAAAUUAAUCCGGAAAAUGAUUUGACAUGUGAAAAUUAAAAAUUAAUUUGGAAAAUGAUUUGUAUUUAAAACUCCAGAACUUAACUAAGUACAGGUUAAAAAUGAAAAAAAUAAUCUAUGUUGUUAAGUUAACUUCUAAAAAAAAAAAAUUGAGAUCUUGAUAAGAAAAAUUUUAUUCUUAUCUUUUGAAAAUAUUUUGCAACAAAACUUCAGGAAAAAAAAUGGGUUGGUAUUAUUUCAUUGAGCUAGUGCUUAAAGGGAAAUAUGAUUGUUUCUCAAUUUGUGUUAUUUUCAUUAUUUAAAGUAGUUAAUAUCUUUGACUUGUUUGGAAAAUUCAAGGAGUUCUCUCGUGGUUUGUGUUUGUUAAUUUUCCUGAGAUAUCUAAGGUGGAUUUUCUCCAGUGACUAAGUAGAGUGGCGAGACUAAGUUGUCAAGUAGAGUAUAAAAAUCUUGUCGCAUUGUAAUUUGUAAGUGAAAAAAGUGUGAUUAGUUAGAUACCAAACCAGGAUUAAUCAUAUGAUGCAAUCUUCUUUUACUUUAUUUUUAGUUUGAUUUUAUAACAUUCCACUUUUUAAAAUAGAUUAAUAAUAAAUUUUUCAAUUAAUUAAUUAGAGGAUAAAAAUAUUCUGAGUGAUUUGAUAAGAUAAUAUUGAAUAAUUAUCAAGUAUUUGUUUAGAUAUAUUAAUGGUGUUAGGCUUGUUUCACAUGUGAGAGAGUGAGAUCAUCGCUUUGAAGUGUAGGGUAAUUGUUAAGUAGUAAGAUUGACCUUCAAUCCUUAAGUUAUGUGCAUAUAUUUGUGGGUGAGGGAUUAAACUUGAACCUAGUGUAAUUUGUGUAAUAGAUGUUUUAAAUAUGUUAUAAAUGAGUAUUGAUGUGGGGAUUAUAAAACUUGUAUGUGAUCAUGAAUCUAUGAGUGCAUGUGCAUUCUUAGGGGAACGAAUGUAUCUAAAAACUUGAUUAGGAGUGAAUUCAUAAUAAUUGUAAAUUGCAUAACUAAAAUAUGGAUUAUUUAGACUACAGGAACCUCUUUUAACGAAUUAAAAUCGUAGGAGUCUUAUAUUUGAAAAAUCGCGAAUUAUGCAAAAAAAACUUGUUUACCUCAUUAGGUGAGGAAGCCCGAAAUACUUGUAGCAUUAUUGCCACUACGCGUGAGGGCUCCAAAGGUCCUCUAGAUGCAUCUCGUCGAGCACGGGGAGAUCAUGCAGGGCAUGAUUCCUUUCAAAAGCUCAUGGCCUCAUAUGUGUCAGGUGUAGAAUGUGUCUCAUCAGGCAUGACCUUGUUUUUGAACUUAGUUCUUAUGUGUGUAUGUACGAGAGAAUCUAUGUCCUUAAGUGAUUAUGUAAAGUGAUUAAUUAAUUAGUGACAAAACGUGAUGUGCUAUGAAUUAUAAGUGAUAAGUGAUUAUGCGUGGUAAAUGCAUUGAGUCUUGAAUCUCAUGCAGCACGUGCAUUUUUUUGUGAUGGGUACAAUGCGGAAUACAUCGUUAGUAAAGAUCCCCCUCUGUAAAAGCUUGGGAUUAGUUCUUGGGGAUAGUUUGGCUUGGAAAGCUUCAAUCUCGUCCAUUGUGUGCAUGAAGCAUAUCUUACGAGACUCAACUAUCCUAAUGAGAUCUUAGUAGUAUAUUCUUUGAGUGAGAGUGCUGAAAUGACUUGACUUGACAUGUACUCUUAGACUAAGGAUGAGUAUGCUUUCACUGGCACCACAUACAUAUAGUUUAGGAGAGUCUAAUCUAUGUAUGAUCAUAAUAUUUUGUUUGUGUUUAAAUUGUGUUUUGAUUGAUGCCAUGAUGGAAUGAGAUAUAAAAUGAGUUGAAGUUAUUA
Long non-coding RNA from Cajanus cajan (pigeon pea), 2408 nucleotides. RefSeq lists it as uncharacterized. Lineage: Eukaryota; Viridiplantae; Streptophyta; Magnoliopsida; Fabales; Fabaceae. The record is from RefSeq and is a predicted model, not a curated record.